Molecule: long non-coding RNA, 689 nt
Organism: Mustela lutreola (European mink)
Lineage: Eukaryota; Metazoa; Chordata; Mammalia; Carnivora; Mustelidae
Exons: 3
Source: RefSeq, a predicted model, not a curated record
UAGGCCCAGUCACCUCACUGCUCCCACCAAACAGCUGAACAACCACUACAAGGCUAACCGGGACCAGGUGACACCCAGACGACCAGCCCUAUGACCAUGAAAGCUUGAGCUAAACUGAGAGAGGUCAGGUAUGAACACAGCACUACUCUUUUAGAAGAGGCUGACUGUUAUUUACGCAAGAUAGAACUUUCGAAUAGUAUCCUCAGAAACCACCCCAAAACAAAUGAAAAAUGGAAAGGCAAGACAAAAACAGCAUUUUGAAUAAAACUUCAAGAGCGAUUCAAAUAUUUUAAGUAUUUUCUAAAGGAACGAGUCGUCUCACGAGGAAGUGGAGAGAGGCUGAAGAGAGAUUUUAACAUCUCAGUGGUUGGAGCCCAGGGUUGACAGAUCUCAGGAAAUGCUACAAAAAAUUCACUUCUUGAAAGUGAGGGAUGUACCUUAAGAGGCAGAAAUUGGAACUUAUCCUGGAGAAAGUGUGCAUGGAAACCAGAGGUCACUUUCUACCCCCAAGAGAACCAAAGUGAGUUCAAUGAAAAGGAGAAAGCAAGGCCAAAUGAAGACUUGGAUGGGUAAGGCACGCAUUCGGAAGUCCUCUAUCGUGGUAGAAGCCCUGGGAGGAGGAGAAUCUUGACACUGUGGAGCUGUGCUAGAAAGGAAUGCCAACCGGACUCAGGAAAACGCUUAAUGAA